UCCUGGGUGGCUCAGUUGGUAAAGCGUCUGACUUCAGCUCAGGUCAUGAUCUUACGGUUCGUGGGUUUGAGCCCCACGUCAGGCU
RNAcentral lists this transfer RNA (85 nucleotides) under Felis catus (domestic cat). It matches the Rfam family "tRNA". Rfam says of the family: Transfer RNA (tRNA) molecules are approximately 80 nucleotides in length. Their secondary structure includes four short double-helical elements and three loops (D, anti-codon, and T loops). Further hydrogen bonds mediate the characteristic L-shaped molecular structure. tRNAs have two regions of fundamental functional importance: the anti-codon, which is responsible for specific mRNA codon recognition, and the 3' end, to which the tRNAs corresponding amino acid is attached (by aminoacyl-tRNA synthetases). tRNAs cope with the degeneracy of the genetic code in two manners: having more than one tRNA (with a specific anti-codon) for a particular amino acid; and 'wobble' base-pairing, i.e. permitting non-standard base-pairing at the 3rd anti-codon position. The record is from Rfam by way of RNAcentral. Lineage: Eukaryota; Metazoa; Chordata; Mammalia; Carnivora; Felidae.